AUGUUAUUGAAGCUGAAGGCGGUUUACUCUUUAACAGAGCAGUUAUACUCUGGCACUCUCUGCGGUCUUGUGGACGGAGCCAUCGUGGCUCUUGGCCGGGCCAAAGCAUGGCAAUCUGAGCUUGGCCCAGAGGAAAUAGCCACCGGGUGCCCGAAAUUCAAGGAUGACCAGUCAACCUUUGAAGAAAAAGGCUUCAAUCAAUGCGUCCGAGAGAUGCGGCACGUGGCUUGCAAGCUCAUUGAAGAGCUAAACUUAAACGAGUACAUGCGGGCUUAUGACAACAACAACCAAAAGAUUAAGCCGCCAGCUCCAUGA
This 315-nucleotide ribosomal RNA is filed under the name Triticum aestivum (bread wheat). RNAcentral's name for it is "partial small subunit ribosomal RNA". The record is from RNAcentral. Lineage: Eukaryota; Viridiplantae; Streptophyta; Magnoliopsida; Poales; Poaceae.